AACGAACGCUGGCGGCAUGCCUAACACAUGCAAGUCGAACGAGACCUUCGGGUCUAGUGGCGCAGGGCUGCGUAACGCGUGGGAACCUGCCUUUAGGUUCGGAAUAACUCAGAGAAGUUUGAGCUAAUACCGGUGGGUGUCUUCGGACCAAAGAUUUAUCGCCUUUAGCUGGGCCCGCGUUGGCUUCGCUAGUUGGUGGGGUAAAGGCCUAGCAAGGCGACGAUCCAUAGCUGGUCGGAGAGGAUGAUCCGCCACACUGGGACUGAGGCACGGCCCAGACUCGUAGGGAAGGGAGGAGUGGGGAAUACUGGACGAUGAGGGAAAGCGUAGUCCAGCAGCGCCGGGUGAGUGAGGAAGGGGUUAGGGUUGUAAAGCUCUUUUACACGAGGUGAUAAUGACAGUAACGGGAGAAUAAGCUCCGGCUAACUCCGUG
This 433-nucleotide ribosomal RNA is filed under the name uncultured bacterium. RNAcentral's name for it is "partial 16S ribosomal RNA". It matches the Rfam family "Bacterial small subunit ribosomal RNA", at positions 29 to 507 of the family's 1533-position model. The record is from RNAcentral.